RNAcentral lists this ribosomal RNA (253 nucleotides) under uncultured bacterium. RNAcentral's name for it is "partial 16S ribosomal RNA". It matches the Rfam family "Bacterial small subunit ribosomal RNA", at positions 524 to 776 of the family's 1533-position model. The record is from RNAcentral.
UACGGAGGAUGCAAGCGUUAUCCGGAAUCAUUGGGCGUAAAGCGUCCGUAGGUGGCUUUUCAAGUCUGCCGUCAAAGACCGGGGCUUAACCCCAGAAAGGCGGUGGAAACUGAAUAGCUAGAGUGCGGUAGGGGUAGAGGGAAUUCCCGGUGUAGCGGUGAAAUGCGUAGAGAUCGGGAAGAACACCGGUGGCGAAAGCGUUCUACUGGACCGUAACUGACACUCAGGGACGAAAGCUAGGGGAGCGAAUGGG